This 497-nucleotide ribosomal RNA is filed under the name uncultured bacterium. Its description in RNAcentral is "partial 16S ribosomal RNA". It matches the Rfam family "Bacterial small subunit ribosomal RNA", at positions 28 to 507 of the family's 1533-position model. The record is from RNAcentral.
GAUGAACGCUGGCGGCGUGCCUAAUACAUGCAAGUCGAGCGAACAGACGAGGAGCUUGCUCCUCUUACGUUAGCGGCGGACGGGUGAGUAACACUUGGAUAACCUACCUAUAAGACUGGGAUAACUUCGGGAAACCGGAGCUAAUACCGGAUAAUAUAUUGAACCGCAUGGUUCAAUAGUGAAAGACGGUUUUGCUGUCACUUAUAGAUGGAUCCGCGCCGCAUUAGCUAGUUGGUAAGGUAACGGCUUACCAAGGCAACGAUGCGUAGCCGACCUGAGAGGGUGAUCGGCCACACUGGAACUGAGACACGGUCCAGACUCCUACGGGAGGCAGCAGUAGGGAAUCUUCCGCAAUGGGCGAAAGCCUGACGGAGCAACGCCGCGUGAGUGAUGAAGGUCUUCGGAUCGUAAAACUCUGUUAUUAGGGAAGAACAAAUGUGUAAGUAACUAUGCACGUCUUGACGGUACCUAAUCAGAAAGCCACGGCUAACUACGUG